UAUUAGGUUGGUGCAAAAGUAAUUGCGGUUUUUGCCAUUGAAAAUAAUGGCAAAAUACACAAUAACUUUUG
Molecule: microRNA precursor, 71 nt
Filed under: Rhinopithecus roxellana (golden snub-nosed monkey)
Lineage: Eukaryota; Metazoa; Chordata; Mammalia; Primates; Cercopithecidae
Description: miRNA (ENSRROG00000013836.1)
Source: RNAcentral